Molecule: ribosomal RNA, 512 nt
Filed under: uncultured bacterium
Lineage: Bacteria
Description: bacterial SSU rRNA
Rfam family: Bacterial small subunit ribosomal RNA
Source: RNAcentral
AGAGUUUGAUCAUGGCUCAGAGCGAACGCUGGCGGCAGGCCUAACACAUGCAAGUCGAACGGACCCUUCGGGGUUAGUGGCGGACGGGUGAGUAACACGUGGGAACGUGCCUUUAGGUUCGGAAUAGCUCCUGGAAACGGGUGGUAAUGCCGAAUGUGCCCUUCGGGGGAAAGAUUUAUCGCCUUUAGAGCGGCCCGCGUCUGAUUAGCUUGUUGGUGGGGUAAUGGCCCACCAAGGCUACGAUCAGUAGCUGGUCUGAGAGGAUGACCAGCCACAUUGGGACUGAGACACGGCCCAAACUCCUACGGGAGGCAGCAGUGGGGAAUCUUGCGCAAUGGGCGAAAGCCUGACGCAGCCAUGCCGCGUGUAUGAUGAAGGUCUUAGGAUUGUAAAAUACUUUCACCGGUGAAGAUAAUGACUGUAGCCGGAGAAGAAGCCCCGGCUAACUUCGUGCCAGCAGCCGCGGUAAUACGAAGGGGGCUAGCGUUGUUCGGAAUUACUGGGCGUAAAGC